GACCCACGACCGGCUGGUCACUUGCUGCCGCCUCGCAAAGGCGCAUCUCUAGUCCAGUGGUGAGCUGCGGCCGGGUCGCUGCAACUCGCUCCAGGACUCGGGACUCGUGGCCUUGGUGUCCCUAGCGGAGCCCUCGGUGUGCCGCCUGCAGGCUCUUUUUUUGAAGAAAGCAGGGAGGGAAUGGCCUUGUGAGAGACUCCAGGAGCAAAGAGCGACCCUCACAAGGCCCAAGUCCUCCCAGAGCUCAGGGAAGCUGUCGCUUCUGACGGAAGAAGGGAGAGAAAGCUCCCUCCUGUGUGUCCCUGGUGGUCUAGUGGCUAGGAUUCGGCGCUUUCACCGCCGCGGCCCGGGUUCGAUUCCCGGUCAGGGAAUUGUUUUACACUGGCCGCCCUCCCGCAGGAAUCUUCCUUCACUACGCUGUCAGCUGGCCUGCUCCAAGGGCCAGAAGCAGAACAGUCUCCGCAGCGAGGGGCAAAGCCGGGCGAAGGAGGGCAAGUCCUAGUGGACCACCUCUCACGACACACCGCUCCUAUUUAUCUCCGUGUCCGUCAUCCGCGGGAGCAGCUUUAGAGAGCGACGGAGCGUCUCGCUCCGGUGUACACAGCCGGGCAGAGAUGCCAGACCCCAUGGAGCUGCACCCAAUAAGCCCACACUCUUUCCCGUCGCCACCCCGGAGGCGCCUAUCGGGCUGAGCUGCGAAUAACUAAGAGAGAGGCCAAGCCAAGUCGUGGCGUUUGUGGCAGCCCCGGACACGGGCACCAGCCAGUCAGCGGAGCCUCCUCACCUCCGUUGCCAGCGAAGGCGCUCGUUAGGCCUUGGGAAGAGGCGACCGGAGGCGAUGCCCGUGAAUUUGUUAGGGGGGUAAGCGGCGGGUGAGGUCCUCGAGGGCGGUCCCGUUUGCUGAUUGAGCGGUAGAGGGAGGCGAUGUUCGCUGACCCAACAAGGACAGCAGGUGGAGUAGGCACAGAUGGAAAACUGCUGCCGGUGCCCUAAGCAGAAGGCAGGUGGAAAAAUCAGCACUAGGACGUCGAAGCGAUGGUACCACAGUCAAAUCCCACGAUGUCUACACUCUACCAAGCACUUGCGCACGCUCCCCCUUUUCCAUUCAGUACUCCCAAGAGGGGUUCGGAAGAACCCCGAGUCCACUGUAAGCUCAGGGGAGAGCGGGAGCCAGGGAGGUGAAGUGCACAGACUCGGCAGAGGCGGCGGGCAGAACCGCGGGGGGGAGAGACCGUGGUCACGAAGGGGGUUCUCCCAGAGUGAAGCUUCUUCAUCUCACUCUAGAGUUGCUGAUCCCUGUGAUUUCCUCCAUGUGGGAAACGGUGUUUGUGCUAGAAGAGGCUGCGCUCUUUACCUGACAUAACGGGGUUCAAGACUGACAUCGCCUCACGCCCACCCGAAAACGUUUACAUGGCUUCCUUGUCUCUUUUUUUUUCUGUCCUAAAGUCGCCUCAUCUUCACAUCCCCUCAUUUUUUCUUCCACACUCGAGAGUGUCUCUCUCUCUCAUUAAAAGCUCCACCAAAUAUUUGAAAUAUCUCAACCA
Molecule: long non-coding RNA, 1544 nt
Filed under: Pan troglodytes (chimpanzee)
Lineage: Eukaryota; Metazoa; Chordata; Mammalia; Primates; Hominidae
Description: lincRNA
Rfam family: tRNA (bases 300-371)
Source: RNAcentral